This 588-nucleotide long non-coding RNA is filed under the name Danio rerio (zebrafish). Its description in RNAcentral is "si:dkey-242k1.4 (ENSDARG00000104899.2)". Lineage: Eukaryota; Metazoa; Chordata; Actinopteri; Cypriniformes; Danionidae. The record is from RNAcentral.
AAAAUCAGUUUAUCAACGGGAGAUGUCCAAGACCGAAUAACUAAGCGAAUUAGUUUGGACUUAUCAGCGAAAUUUCAGUGAUGCUGAAAGCUGUUUCCUGGCUCUGCUCUUUGAAACGGCGGGCAGGAUCGCUGGGUCAGAACCGAGCCUGAUUCGGGCCUUAAGGGACUAUCCUGUCGCCCCAGCGCUGUCAUUUCAGUCACUUCCUCCACUUCCUGUUGACGCCACUUGGCACAUCUGUACAAUAAACACAGCCUUUCCUGCUCCCCGCCAGCCAACCGUCCAGGAGAUGAUAUGGCAUGCUGUGUGCACUUAAUUGUGCUCAAACCAUUCAAGUUUCCCCCAUUUCCCAGGCAGGGAAACAGAUGGAGCAGCAUUCCAAGCAGAUCUCCAGACAGUCUGAAGAUUGGCAGCAGUCCUCCAGUAUCCCACAAUCCAGCAGGGCAGAGCAGGAGUCCUCAGCGCAGCAGGCCAGACCUCCGCCGGCCGCUUCACCACAGCAGCAGAGAGCAUCACACUCUAGACCACAGGCCAAACACUGAGCCACGGCCGAACACCAGGACAGCACCUCGCAGAACAGGCAGGCCA